This 32-nucleotide non-coding RNA is filed under the name Homo sapiens (human). The record is from RNAcentral. Lineage: Eukaryota; Metazoa; Chordata; Mammalia; Primates; Hominidae.
AGACUACAGCUCCCAGGAUGUACGGUGAUGGC